UUAUGAUUUAGUAUAAGAUGUACAUGGGAUUUUGAUUCUCAAGGUAAUAGUUUAAUUUUAUUAAUCAUAAU
RNAcentral lists this transfer RNA (71 nucleotides) under Dermestes frischii. RNAcentral describes it as "tRNA-Gln". It matches the Rfam family "tRNA". From Rfam's summary of the family: Transfer RNA (tRNA) molecules are approximately 80 nucleotides in length. Their secondary structure includes four short double-helical elements and three loops (D, anti-codon, and T loops). Further hydrogen bonds mediate the characteristic L-shaped molecular structure. tRNAs have two regions of fundamental functional importance: the anti-codon, which is responsible for specific mRNA codon recognition, and the 3' end, to which the tRNAs corresponding amino acid is attached (by aminoacyl-tRNA synthetases). tRNAs cope with the degeneracy of the genetic code in two manners: having more than one tRNA (with a specific anti-codon) for a particular amino acid; and 'wobble' base-pairing, i.e. permitting non-standard base-pairing at the 3rd anti-codon position. Lineage: Eukaryota; Metazoa; Arthropoda; Insecta; Coleoptera; Dermestidae. RNAcentral also lists the same sequence under 1 other name. The record is from RNAcentral.